This 296-nucleotide small nuclear RNA is filed under the name Panthera pardus (leopard). Its description in RNAcentral is "7SK RNA (ENSPPRG00000015330.1)". It matches the Rfam family "7SK RNA". Rfam says of the family: 7SK was discovered as an abundant small nuclear RNA in the mid-70s but a possible function has only recently been suggested. Two independent studies have found that 7SK RNA binds the CDK9/cyclin T complex (known as elongation factor P-TEFb). The record is from RNAcentral. Lineage: Eukaryota; Metazoa; Chordata; Mammalia; Carnivora; Felidae.
AGAUGUGAGGGCGAUCUCAUUGAUCGCCAGGGUCAAUUUGGGCUGAUCGGGCUGGCUAAGCGGUGUCCCCUUCCUCCCUCACUGCUCCAUGUGCAUUUCUGUCCCUCAGGAAGAGGACAACCUUCCCUGAUAGAGAAGGACCGUUUCGGCUAAGGGUAUACAGGUAGCUGUGCUUUGCUCUAGAACCUCCAAGCAAGCACUCAUAGUCCAUUUGUAGGAGAAUGUAGGCUAGUCAAGCUUCCAAGACUCCAGACACAUCCAAAGGAGGCAUUGCAUGUGACAGUCUGCCUUUCUUU